UACGUAGGUGGCAAGCGUUGUCCGGAAUUACUGGGCGUAAAGGGCGUGUAGGCGGCCUUUUAAGUCAGACGUGAAAUCUCUGGGCUUAACCCAGAAAUUGCGUUUGAAACUGGAGGGCUUGAGGAUCGGAGAGGGCAGUGGAAUUCCCAGUGUAGCGGUGAAAUGCGUAGAUAUUGGGAGGAACACCAGUGGCGAAGGCGACUGCCUGGACGACACCUGACGCUGAGGCGCGAAAGCUAGGGGAGCAAACGGG
This 253-nucleotide ribosomal RNA is filed under the name uncultured bacterium. RNAcentral's name for it is "partial 16S ribosomal RNA". It matches the Rfam family "Bacterial small subunit ribosomal RNA", at positions 524 to 776 of the family's 1533-position model. The record is from RNAcentral.